Molecule: unclassified non-coding RNA, 9280 nt
Filed under: Polistes fuscatus (common paper wasp)
Lineage: Eukaryota; Metazoa; Arthropoda; Insecta; Hymenoptera; Vespidae
Description: huntingtin, transcript variant X2
Source: RNAcentral
AUUAUUCAUAGUUUUGACUAUAGUGUGUCCUUCAGUUUUACAACAAAUAUGGCAGUCUUUGAUAAUCUAUCGCGAAUAGAAAAGUUAAUAAUUUAUUAUUUUCCUUCAAAUAAAAUUGCAAUCAUUGCACAGAGUUAUUAAUUAUGAUUAAUUACAGUUUUACGCGUUGACAGUGUUAAAUAGUUUUAUUAAGCAAAUUGAAUAACCUAUAAUGAUAGAAAGGUUAAAUAGAUAGAAAGAAAGUAAUAAACUAUUUUAUAUAAAAAUGGCUGCAUUAAACAAUAUAUUAAAAGCUAUAGAUGCAUUAAAGGUAUUACAGGAAACCAUGGUUUCAUCUGAUCCUGUAAUAAGAAAAGAGAAGAUAAUGCAUUGUACAGUAAUUGCUGAAGGAUUAUGUUCAACAAAUACUAAAUUGAUAUCUAAAUAUCCACAAAUUUUUGGUUGUUCGAUAAAAGCAUUAUUGGCACUAUGUGACGACGCAGAAGCUGAUGUGAGAAUGAUUGCUGAUGAAUGUCUGAAUAAAAUUAUAAGGACUAUGGCAGACGGUGAUAUUGUUAAAAUUCAAAUAGAGUUAUAUAAUGGAAUCAAAAGUAAUGGACCUGCUCGAACUUUGAGAGCUGCUCUUUGGAGAUUCGGUUUACUUAGUCACAUGAUUCGUCCUACGAGAGGAAAAGCAUACGUAUCGAAUUUAAUACCAUGUAUUACUGUCAUAGCGCAUAGGCCAGAAGAAUCAGUAAUAGAUACACUUGCACAAGCAUUAAAAUUAAUUCUCAAAACGUUGGGGCCAUUUAUGACGGAUAACGAUGUAAAGACGUUGCUUAAAGCAUUAUUUCAAAAUAUAUCGUCGACUCAAGCUGCAUUUCGUAGAGCUGCAGCAAAUAUGAUUUUAACGACCUGCUUAAAUUGUAGGAAACCUCAAGCUUUUUUAUGUUAUGUAUUAAAUUAUUUAUUAGAUUCUAUUAUACCAGUAAGUGAUGACAUAGAUCACUUGAAUAAAGUUAUUGGUGUUUUUGGAUGCAUAAAAGUGAUUUUACCAUAUAUGUCUACACCAACGGAAUGUGAAUCUAGCGACAAACAACAAUUGGAAAAUUUUUUACAAAUUUAUGAGUUAUGCUUGUACUACACCAAGUGGCAUUCAAAUCAUAAUUUAAUAAAUGCUGCUUUGGAAACGUUGGCUCAACUUUUGCAAUCUCCAUCAAGUGCAUUCAAAUAUUUAUUGUUGUCUAAAGAAGGUAUUACUCAUAGUAGAAUUGAGUUGAAUCAAGAAGCAGCUACGAUAUCUUUGGGUCAAAUAAGUACUUCAACAGCUACAAGUAUUUCUGGAGGCAAUUCUGAUUCCACAUUGAAUUUGCUUGAACCGGAAAUGCCGCAAUUGAAUUCAACGAUAGGAAAUUGGAUUAUGGAUUCAGAAAUGGUACUUCCAUUGAUACAAAAAUCAGAAACGCGAGAAACAUGUUCAAGUGAUGCAACAGAAACGAAAGGGAAAACGAUGGAAAAUUAUAGUGAAUUAAAAAUAGAGACUUUAGAGGGAGACGGCAUCGAGGAAGGAAGCGAUGCUGGAAGCGAAAUAGAACAAAUAGAAAACAUACCAUAUUCAAGCUUACAAAGCAAUCACAUGAAAGAAGAUGAAUAUUUGGAUGAAGCUUCGAUAUCUGUAGCCUCUCCACAAAAAUUGUCAAUGGAAUUGCCAUUGCACGAAAUCAAUAUUGGGACUUAUACAGAUUCUGAUAUGCCCGUCAAAUUUUGUUGUCGUUAUUUAGUUUCAUCAUUUUUGUUAACAGGCAGUGCUGAUCACUUAAUGCCUGAUAAAUUAUUUCGUGUCAGUGUUAAAUCUCUUGCUUUAACAUGCGUAGCCAACAUUUUAAGACUUUAUCCAGAUUUACUUCUAAUGACAGUUGCCAAAGAUUCUACUCAUUCGGAUAAACAAAUGAUUAAAGAUAUUUUAUUAUUUGCAAAUCAUUCGGAUCCUCAAAUCAGAGCCAAUGUAUCGAUUCUUAUUGGAUUAUUUUUGAAAACAGUUUUUACACAGUAUGGCGGAUCUUUUAAGAAUUUUCAGCCUGAAAAUUUAAAUAGUAAAGCAAACGAAAGUUCAUUAUUGGAAAAUAUGAUAAAAUUACUUAUAAAAGGUUUAGAGGAUGAUUCUGCUACAACAUGUCGCCAAACAUUAACAGCAUUAAAUUUAUGCUUACCAGAAAUCCUAAAUUCUGUAGAUAGUCAAUAUGGAAUAACCAUUUUAUUUGAAUUACCCAGGCUUAUUAAAAAUCCAUAUUUUCUCGUCAAAGUUAAAUUAGCAGAUUUGCUAAGUAAUUUAUCAUACAUCACUAUAGAACACAUAACAGGUGAUGCAUUAUUUCAACAACAUUUUAUCGAUGUUAUAAUAAUUUUAUUAGGAGAUCAGGAUAAAAGAGUUAGACAUGCAGCAUCUGAAGCAAUUGUUAAAAGUAUUCCAUUAUUAUAUUUUAAACAUCCGCAGGAAAGUGCUGUUGUAAAAAAAGCAGCUCAAUAUACAGAAAAGUAUUUAUCAACUCUAAUGUCAAAUACUUUAAGAAUACCUUCAUAUUAUGAUAGACAUAAAAUAUGCAUAAAUAAUACAGUCAAGCCGUUUACAUCUUUAAAUGAUCAUAGUGACAAGAAAUAUCACGUAAAUACAGAGGACUCCUUAUCUCGAAUUGUUAGCAUCUUAACUGAAAUACUCAUGGUUGAUUCAUCUAAGUAUAUGGUAUAUGGUUGUUGUGAAGCUCUUGCUCAAUUAAGUGAAGUUUAUAAUACUGUAGUUUAUGUCAGAGGAUGGGAUUGUAUACUUCCCAAAGCAUUGCUUAAAAAAUCUCAUAAAAAGGCUGUUAGUCGAGUAGACACAACAAACGAAAACAAUUUUUCUAUUGAAAUAACGUCUCCGAUUGGUAGUGGUCUACUUUCUUUGUUGUUGCCUUUGUUGUCUUCAUCUGCAAUAAGUUUGGAUUUAUCAACGCAUAAACAUUUAAUUUCUCUUGCGGGUAAUCUUGCAUCAGGGUUGGCUCUUUGCAAUCUAAAACCUAACGAACCAACAAACAAACAUGAUUCUGAUACAUCAAAUCUUUGGCGUAUGUUUAAAGAUAAACAAACUUGUCAGUAUAUGGAAUUAUUAUUGGCUCAUGUUAUAAGAGUUCUAAAUAUUUUCGUUCAUGUUAUUGAUGAUAUACAGUUAAAUCAAUUAAGUACAAAAUCACUAUCUUUGUCAGCUGCGCAUACUUUAUCUCCAAAGAAAAAAGUAGUUCCUGAACAGAAACAAAAAGAAAAAAAGGAUAAGUUUUUAAAUUUAAAGUUUGAAAAAGAACAAAUGGGAUUAUUCAUUACUAUUCCGCAUUAUAUGAAGAUGUAUGACAAUCUCAAAGCAGCACAUUCUAAUUAUCUUGUUACUCUUGAACCAGAGGCUAGCGAAAUGUAUAUUGCAUUAUUAACUGCUAUACUGGAUACUCUUUCGCAAAUUCUUGAGAUAGCCACUUUUAAUGAAGCUGGCGGGAUAGCAGAUGAAAUUCUCUAUUACCUGCAGACAACUGUUACUUUAUCACCAACUGCAACUAUUCAAUGUGUACAGCAAUUGUUGAAAUGCUUGUUCGGUAAAAAUCUUGGUACUCAGUGGAAUGAACAGGAUAUGCAACAAUAUGCAGAACAGAAUAUUGCGUUGAGAGAUACUUCUAAAGGCUUUUAUAAUCAAUGUUUUCAAAAUCCAGCUAGACAUAUGGCAGAUAUGAUCAAAAUAAUAGGAAAUAAUUGCAGAGAUGAAAAUAAACCAGACACUGGGUGGAUAGGUUUAACACGUAGAAAAGGAGAUAGAAAAUUAUCAUACAUCUAUGCUUCGGAUCAUAAAGCUUCUGUAGCUACUUUUAUUCGUUUAUUUGAACCAAUGGUUAUAAAGUCUAUGGAACAAUAUACUAUCACAAGCAAUAUUUCAUUGCAAUGUCAAGUGCUUAUGCUUCUGAGUCAACUGAUUCAACUGAAAGUUAAUUAUUGUUUGUUAGAUUCAGAUAAGAUAUUUAUUGGAUUCGUAUUAAAGCAGUUUGAAUUCAUAGAGGAGGGUCAGAUACAACAAGCAGAGCAUCUUUUACCAAAAAUUUUUAGUUUUUUGGUGCAUUUAUCUUAUGAAAAAAAUCACUCGAAGGUUGUAAUAGGUAUUCCUAAAAUAAUACAAUUAUGUGAUGGACUUAUGGCAAGUGGACAGCCAGCACUUAAAUAUUGUAUACCAGCUCUUGCACCUGUGGUCGGAGAUAUUUUUCUUAUUCGUAAUGAAACUUCUAAUCAAGCAGAAAGAGAAUUGGAAACAACCAAAGAAGUAUUAAUUUCAAUGCUACUUCGUCUAGUGGAAUAUCACGAAGUCAUCGAGCUUUUAGCACUGUGUGUCUCAGAAUCUAGAUUUAGUGGAGAUGGAAAUGGAGAAGAAAAAUGGAGAAGAUGGUCUAGAAUGACUACAGAUACUAUACUUCCCAUGUUGGGAAUGCGUCAAGUAAGACUGGAAUGGGAAAAUGCUCAUAUGGCUUUAGUCAAAUUGUUUGCUGCAAUUUCUCCUACUGUUUUCAGACCAGUAGAUCCACUUUUAAAAGUACUCUUUACUAUGCCUGCUACUUUGAAAGAACCAGUUUUUAAUUUAAAACGUUGGUUGGGAAUGAUCAAUGUUAUAUUGUUAACUCUUAUCUCUUGUGCUAAAGAGGACUCAAUGUUAGCACGACUAUCGGAUCUUAGCGUAUAUAUGACAGAUCUUUCACACUUGUUAUUAUUUCCAGAUAAUAUGUUUAAAGUUAUAGAUCCAUUGAAUGCACUUGGAACUCAGUCUGCACAAAUACCACCAGAAAAAAUUUUAGCAAGAUUCAUAUUUAAAGUAAUUAGCCUGAUAGGCACGAAAAUUUUUAAUAUUCUAGGAUUAAUUAAUCACAAAGCUAUAGAUCCUUAUACAGGAUUUGCUCAACACACAGAUAACGAUGACUACCUGGUGCAUCAAUUUGCAUUCUUUUUACAAUUGUGCAUACACAUGUUUGAGUCUGGAAGUCAUUGUAAAGUGGCAAAUGCAGCAAUGCAAAUGAUUCAAGAUCGUAAUACCCUUGAUGAGGACAAGUUUCCGAUAGACAAUUUAAAUUCUUUAAUGGUAAGCAUUGGACAUGUGUGUCCAAUGUUGACUUGUCAAUGGGCUUAUUUAAUGACAUUAUUAAGCUAUAAUGAGAUGUUAUUUUGGUCUAAAGUUUUGGGCACACGAAAUUCAGAUUACAUAGUAAGAACUCUUCCCAAUGAGACUAAAGUAUACGAUCAUGUAAACAGCAUAAAUGUACAAAUUAUUCAUAAAGGAGGAAUCAUAUUAUUUUGUGAUUAUGUAUGUGAAAAUCUCAAUGAUGCAGAACCUUUAACAUGGUUAUUGGUGAAUCAUAUUGAAGAAGCAAUACACAUAGCUACUGAAUCUCCAGUAAGAGAACUUCUAGCAGCAGCUAUACAUAGAAAUCCUGCUGCCAGUGGUCUCUUAGUACAAGCUAUUUCAACAAAAUGUGUUAAUUUAUCACAACCCAGCUUUGUAAAACGUUUAUUGCAAUGCAUCGAAGAUGCACAUCAAUCUCAAAGUGGUGCAGUCAUAAUGAUGUUAAUUCCAAAAUUUUUAUCCACCAAAUAUCUUGCUUUAUCAAGAAUGGCAGCAAAAAUGGCUAGUAGAAGAAUCGAAAUUUUAUUAACAUUGAACGCAACAGAUGUUAUAGAACAAUUCCCAAAAAAUGAUUUAAUAAAGAUCAUGGAUACAUUACAGACUACUAAGCUAGCUAAGAAACAUGGAGCACUAGUUAACUUAUUGAAUAAAUUAGGAGUACAUUUUUACGAUCUUUCACCUUUCGAACCUGAUUUAUGUAGACCUUUUAAUCCAUUAAUCGUAAAAACAAUUCAACUAGAUCGCGAUUGGUUUCUCUCACAAAUAAAAUUACAUUGUUGUCAUCAGAAUAUUACAUAUAAUACUUAUGAAUCAGCACAAUUAUUGAGUAAUUUAAAUUUUGAAGACUGUUUGAGUAUUAUUUCUUGUAAGGAGUUUGAUAUAAUGAUUUUAAAAGACUGCAUAACAUUGGGUAUAAGAUUGACUAUCGAGAAUUGCCAAAGGUUAGAGUUAGGAAAAAUUAAUAACGAAAAAAUUCAUUUUGAAGCAAGCCCUUUAUAUAUAGCUGCUAAACAAUGUUUAUUGGAACAUGUACAUAAUGUAACUGAAUUUAUGCCAAAACCACAUUAUGUAUUUAAUCCACAAAAAUCUGAUACUAAUAGUAAAGAAGUGAAAUAUGCAACAAGGAUAUCCAAACUUUUAGACGAUUCCAUCUACUGGAAUACACUUUUUAAAAUUAUUCCAGUUGUAAAAGCAUUUACUAAAACAUUGUCGCAAUUAACUAGAUAUAAUUUGGCGCACAUGGAUGCUAAAGUUGAAGAAGAUUGUGCUAAGCUAGCAUUAUUAUGUUUAGAAUUAACACAUUGGAUGAUACAUGUAGAUAAAGAAAAUAUUAGAAAGUUACGACCAAGUGAAGUAGAGUUAGCAUUGAGUUGUGCUGCAGAAGUUUUGAAACACGAAGGCCCAUUCAAGAUCUUUGCAGACAGCACUCGAUACUCGUGGGUAUGUUCUUCGAUACUGGCUAUGACCAAAAUAGUUGAAAACAAUUUAACGACGGUUGAAUCGUUACCUCACGUUGAUACGUACUCGUUACAACCAGCUUUUAAAGACGAAGAAACGAAGCAUUAUGCGAAGGCAUGCGUGCAGAUAGCAUCACUGGUUGUUUGGCUUGAAAAAUGUCAUACUAAUAAUAGUUCGAAAAACAUUCCUCCUUAUUUAUUUAAUUUAAUUAAAAGUCUUAUUGUACUUAUUAGUCGUCAACCUUUGGUAAAUUCUUUUGUUCUAACGCCUCCUUUGGUUUGGAAACAUGGUUGGCAUAUAAUGGGCUCUGGUACAACUAAAUGCCAUUUUCCAUUGUUAUCAACCGAAUCAAAUCUUCUACAAGAGGUCGACAUUUUAGAACAAUUCAUAUAUAGAAUUAAUUUGUUGGGUUGGACUUCGCGAUUACAAUUUGAAGAAAUAUGGAUGGCGUUAUUGGGAUUGUUAAAUCUUUCACAAAAUGAACAUACUUCUUUGGAAGAAACAACAGCGUUAGUACAAGCAAGCUGUUUAGCUAUUCAAGCUAUAACACAGUUAUUAUUACAAACAAUGCUUAUACCACAUCCUGGUAAUCCAAUUACCAGUUGUUUGAUUCAUCAUUCACGAGACCCUCAACUUUCGGUAGUGAAAAUAAGCUCACAAAAAUUAUAUACCAUACAAGAUUUAUUGACAUGGAAAUUCGAAUGUAUGAGUGAUAUUCAGAAUAUAAAUGGUCUCAGAUUAGAUCAUAUAUUUCAUAGAGGAAACAUAGAAAAGAUUAGAACUUCAGAUAACUUUACUUAUAGUCAAUUAUCAGUUUCCUAUUUAUGGUCGUCGUGUAAUUUAUACGAAGAUAAAUUGAAUGCCUCUGUUCUUGAAUUAAAAAAUAGAAGAAAUGAUGCAUUGAAGACUGCAUCAUUAGAUGUAGAUUCGUGUCUUCGAUUUUUAGUGGAACUUUAUACUUCUUGGUUGUCGCCACAAGCGAAUAUUCCAAUACAAUUACUCACUGAAACUAUGAAAUCUCUCCUAGCCAUCUCUGAUCUCUUUGUUGAAAGAGCGCAAUAUCAAUGGAUAUUAGAUGUUUGCUUAGAAAUUUCAAGAGUACAUCCAAUAGAAAAUGGAAUCUUAUAUCAGUAUUUGGUAAUAUCUGUAUGUAAGGCUGCCGCAGUAUUAACUCCACUGGAUUUGGAUACAUUGGAAAGGGUGAAACGUUUGAUUGACAUCAACCUUAAAUCGGUUUUCUUAGCUGCUAGAGUCGCAGCACUUCAUGGUGUCUUGUAUUUAUUACAAAGUGCAGUUCAGGCUAAUUACGAAGAAAUUAUGAAUAUUUUACAUCCAUUGACUAUCGAGUAUAUACAAAAACACAUAGACAAUCAAGAUACAGAUGGGGUAUUAAAUCAAAGCGAGGAACAUCAAGGUAUUAUGUGGGCCUUAGUAUUUUUCUUAUUAGAACAUGCAGGAGAUACGCCGUCGGAUACGGAAGCUCCUGCUGUGCUUGAACUAGUUCUUUCUCUAGUCAUGUCACCGAAUAUUUCAAUUAGUUUACAUCAAACUCUUUUACAGGGUCUUGAAAGAUUAAUUAUAACAAAAAGUGUAACGGGUAAAGUUGCUGAACAAAUUGUUAAAGUAGCAACGGAACGUUUAGGACACAUAAGUCCGAUGUAUGCGUUACCUGCUUUGCAACUUUUAUUAACAUGCAUGUAUACAGAAGCAGCAGAUAGAUUAAAUCAGCCAAAUGUUGAAGAACCAUUACCGGGUAUUGAACCAGAAUCAUUGGUUCGAUCUAUUGAACGAACGUCUGCCAUAUUUGAUAGAAUUAAGAGAGGCUAUCCAAUGGAAGUAGAAAUUCUAUGUUCAGUUUUAUCAAGUGUUUUAGCAGAUUUCUUUCCACCAUCCGAAAUCUUGACUAAAGUUAUAGGUGAAUUUUUAUCACCCCAACAACCACAUCCUAGAUUGCUUUCAGGCGUAGUGUUUAAAGUCUGUGAAAGAGCAUGUACGUCUACAAAAAUGAGUUUAUUGCAAGAUUGGGUGGUCUUCAGUUUGCCAAAUUUUAUACAGAGCUUACCAUUGGCUAUGUCCACUUGGUGUCUUUCUUGUUUCUUUAUAAGCGCAUCUACGAAUAAUUGGUUGAGAGCUUUAUUCCCACAUGUACAAUCAAGGAUUGGAAAGUAUGAAUACGAGGAUAAAAAGAUUUUGUGUAUAGCAGCUAAUGAUUUUUAUCAUAAGUUGCCCGAGGAAUCUCAAAGAAAAGCUUUCGUCGAGACAUUCGAAGUUGCAGCUAAAGAACCUGGAAAUCCAUUCAUUGAUAUAUUAGCAUCCUUUUAGUUAUCUAAAUUGUAUAUCCUAUUACGGAAAGAAAUUUAUUCGAAAAGAAACAUUUUUUAAUAAUAUUUCAAGUGAUUCUUCUACUCUUGUAAAUUAGUGUACAGUAAUUGUGCGUUUAUCUCAUUAUCUUUUAAAGACAAGGAUAUUACGCUGCAUCCAAGGAACAAACCAGCAGCUCCACCGAUUGAUGCUGAAUUAAGAAAAUAAAAAAAAAUCUAUUAAAAAAGAAGAAGAAUGUAAAAUAAAUUGAUAAAUUUUUUAGACGUACUUAAGAGAUCUCCAAAAGUGUACCAUUCUCUACGUUUAUAUUUGUUUUUCGAAAAAUCUACUGUCAUUGUUAAA